AGAGUUUGAUCCAUGGCUCAGAACGAACGCUGGCGGCAGGCCUAACACAUGCAAGUCGAGCGAGAUCUUCGGGUCUAGCGGCGGACGGGUGAGUAACGCGUGGGAAUAUGCCCUUCUCUACGGAAUAGCCCCGGGAAACUGGGAGUAAUACCGUAUACGCCCUUUGGGGGAAAGAUUUAUCGGAGAAGGAUUAGCCCGCGUUGGAUUAGGUAGUUGGUGGGGUAAUGGCCUACCAAGCCGACGAUCCAUAGCUGGUUUGAGAGGAUGAUCAGCCACACUGGGACUGAGACACGGCCCAGACUCCUACGGGAGGCAGCAGUGGGGAAUCUUAGACAAUGGGGGCAACCCUGAUCUAGCCAUGCCGCGUGAGUGAUGAAGGCCUUAG
RNAcentral lists this ribosomal RNA (385 nucleotides) under Paracoccus sp. K1-202. RNAcentral's name for it is "bacterial SSU rRNA". It matches the Rfam family "Bacterial small subunit ribosomal RNA", at positions 8 to 420 of the family's 1533-position model. The record is from RNAcentral. Lineage: Bacteria; Pseudomonadati; Pseudomonadota; Alphaproteobacteria; Rhodobacterales; Paracoccaceae.